CCCUUGAGAUGGGUGGUUGCAAUCUCCCCGACUCUAGGGGCUCUAGGGGUGCCUGCGAUGGCCCAGACAAACCCAUGGGAAAAAAAUAAAAUCAUAUUCUUAUUAGAAGAAGAUUAGGCCUCGAAUCAUGCCAGGUUCAACUUAGGAGAUGGUUUGCCUAGCCAGCUAACCAUAGGAGUACAUAAAAAUGCACGAUUACACAGCUGGACCGUAUCAGGCUCGAUGUCUGUCAUCAAAUCCAAGCGUGACAACAGGAAAGUCAUCAACAGGAUUGUAUUUGGUCCGGCCACCAAUGCUGUCUUCUUCCAUAACUGCUUCGUCGAGGGUGUGAUACAUCAUUAAUUAUAACAAGAAGAAUGGGAAGCAAAGAACUAUCAGAGAAGGACGCAAAGGAUAAUAAAGAACUAGCAGUGGAGUCAUUUGAUAGCAUAAAAAAGGCAAAAUCAUUGGUGGCGAGCAAGUUUCCCUCGAGUUGUAACCUGUGCAUAUGUACCUGUAAUUGCAGACAGAGAUUCUGUCGAUUUUUGGUAAGAUAUAUUUUUGUGUUUUUCCAGUUCUCAACUCAAAAAUCAAAAUUAGGGCCUCAAAUGGUAAUCCUAUUAGAAUCA
Molecule: long non-coding RNA, 608 nt
Organism: Olea europaea var. sylvestris
Lineage: Eukaryota; Viridiplantae; Streptophyta; Magnoliopsida; Lamiales; Oleaceae
Exons: 2
Source: RefSeq, a predicted model, not a curated record